This 253-nucleotide ribosomal RNA is filed under the name uncultured bacterium. RNAcentral's name for it is "partial 16S ribosomal RNA". It matches the Rfam family "Bacterial small subunit ribosomal RNA", at positions 524 to 776 of the family's 1533-position model. The record is from RNAcentral.
UACGUAGGGGGCAAGCGUUGUCCGGAUUUAUUGGGCGUAAAGAGCGUGUAGGCGGCCACACAGGUCUGCUGUGAAAACUCGAGGCUCAACCUCGAGCUGUCGGUGGAAACCGUGUGGCUAGAGUCCGGAAGAGGAGAGUGGAAUUCCCGGUGUAGCGGUGAAAUGCGCAGAUAUCAGGAGGAACACCGGUGGCGAAGGCGGGUCUCUGGGCCGAUACUGACGCUGAGGAGCGAAAGCGUGGGGAGCGAACAGG